UGGGGAAUAUUGCACAAUGGGCGCAAGCCUGAUGCAGCCAUGCCGCGUGUAUGAAGAAGGCCUUCGGGUUGUAAAGUACUUUCAGCGGGGAGGAAGGUGUUGUGGUUAAUAACCUCAGCAAUUGACGUUACCCGCAGAAGAAGCACCGGCUAACUCCGUGCCAGCAGCCGCGGUAAUACGGAGGGUGCAAGCGUUAAUCGGAAUUACUGGGCGUAAAGCGCACGCAGGCGGUCUGUCAAGUCGGAUGUGAAAGCCCCGGGCUCAACCUGGGAACUGCAUCCGAAACUGGCAGGCUUGAGUCUUGUAGAGGGGGGUAGAAUUCCAGGUGUAGCGGUGAAAUGCGUAGAGAUCUGGAGGAAUACCGGUGGCGAAGGCGGCCCCCUGGACAAAGACUGACGCUCAGGUGCGAAAGCGUGGGGAGCAAACA
RNAcentral lists this ribosomal RNA (427 nucleotides) under uncultured bacterium. Its description in RNAcentral is "partial 16S ribosomal RNA". It matches the Rfam family "Bacterial small subunit ribosomal RNA", at positions 355 to 774 of the family's 1533-position model. The record is from RNAcentral.